CUGCAGUAUAUCACCAUGGAUGGGGAGCAGGCUGGCGGUGGUGACGACAAUGUGCCAACAAAUAUUGUUGAACGCUAGAUGAAGGAUCUCGUCACCCGCUGGGAAUGACAAGAUUUACACAUCCCAAGCAGAGGACCACAUAGAAAUGGAGAGGCAGACUGGAAGACGCCUCUAAACAUCCCCUUGAUGCUGACUGAAUCACCCACAUGAGCGGAUACAGGAGCGCUCAAGCUACCACUGCCUGCCACCCACCUUCCUAGCAGGUGUGCUUGUGCUGUUACUUUGCUACUUGAUAAAGCAUUGUUCUAUCAGGAUGACCGGGAAGUAGAAACACAAAGGGCCGGUUGCCACGAGCAGAAGGUGGGUCUCACUCAUGGAAUACAGAACACUGCCAAGUCUUGAGGUCAGGAAAGGAAGGACGUCCAUGUGUGAAGCCCUCCCUGGAAGGGAUAGUGAGCCUCAUGAUCUCCCUGCGAUGUCCGGGACCACGAUCCCACUGUGGAGAUGAGAGAACUUAUGCUCAGAGGCCUCGGGGCUAUGCCCACAGGCCGCACUGUCGCUGACAGAGCUGAGACGCCAGUCCAGACUCCUGAGUCCAAAGUUUAGGUGUUUCCCUCUCAAAGGUCUCAAACUGGCAGCUCCAGGGCCAAAUUAGACCUGUCGAUGUGCUUUUGGAGGCCAGCUCGAUGCUUUUAAUUUUUUUGAAAUGAACGGCCAACAUUUGAAAAUCAGAUUUCACAUAGACUUCCAGAUUUCUGGUUUCAUUUGACAAACUGGAAACUUUGACAACCCCAGGCCUGGAACCUCAACAAUUGGCUGCAAUCGGUUGGGGAUGGAGCCAGAAGAGGCGACCCUCUGAGCAUUGAAUGAUGCUGGGACGGGGCCCCUUCAGCAGCAUCACCACCAUCCACCCAUGGCCGAUGCCUGAAAUCCUGCUGUUAGCACGUCAUCUCUUUGGUUAAGGAGUUGCCUCUUCAGGGGUCAUUUUCAAAGGCGAGUACUCCUGGAAGGUAUCAACCAUUCACACUUGAGUAUGAAUUGCUUUCCCAGCCUUCCCAAAUUUUUACAGAUGCUUGAGAACUGAG
RNAcentral lists this long non-coding RNA (1085 nucleotides) under Equus asinus (donkey). RNAcentral describes it as "lncRNA (ENSEASG00005027875.1)". Lineage: Eukaryota; Metazoa; Chordata; Mammalia; Perissodactyla; Equidae. The record is from RNAcentral.